UAGCCUAGCAGAAGGACUGGUGCCAGGGC
RNAcentral lists this non-coding RNA (29 nucleotides) under Homo sapiens (human). The record is from RNAcentral. Lineage: Eukaryota; Metazoa; Chordata; Mammalia; Primates; Hominidae.